GGGGCUGUAGCUCAGUGGAAGAGCAUCUGAUUUGUAUGCAGAAGGUCCCAGGUUCAAUCCCUGGCAUCUCCA
This is a non-coding RNA of Hemicordylus capensis (graceful crag lizard), 72 nucleotides long. Lineage: Eukaryota; Metazoa; Chordata; Lepidosauria; Squamata; Cordylidae. The record is from the annotation of a RefSeq genome assembly.